This 507-nucleotide ribosomal RNA is filed under the name uncultured bacterium. RNAcentral describes it as "bacterial SSU rRNA". It matches the Rfam family "Bacterial small subunit ribosomal RNA", at positions 29 to 520 of the family's 1533-position model. The record is from RNAcentral.
AACGAACGCUGGCGGCGCGUCUUAAGCAUGCAAGUCGAACGGCAAGAUUGGUGCUUGCAUCGAUCCUAGAGUGGCGGACUGGUGAGUAACGCGUGGGUGACGUACCCUAAGGAUGGGGAUAGCUGGUAGAAAUACCGGGUAAUACCGAAUAAUCUUGCUUCUUUGAAGUGAAGUAAGGAAAGGAGCUUUGGCUUCACUGAAGGAACGGCCCGCGCACUAUUAGCUAGUUGGUGAGGUAACGGCCCACCAAGGCAACGAUAGUUAUCCGGCCUAAGAGGGUGAACGGACACAUUGGGACUGAGAUACGGCCCAGACUCCUACGGGAGGCAGCAGCUAAGAAUAUUCCGCAAUGGAGGAAACUCUGACGGAGCGACGCCGCGUGGAUGAUGAAGGUCGGAAGAUUGUAAAAUCCUUUUAAGUAUGAUGAAUAACCUGAUCAGGAAAUGGGACAGGGAUGACCGUAAUACUUGAAUAAGCAACGGCUAAUUACGUGCCAGCAGCCGACGG